This is a non-coding RNA of Pelobates cultripes (western spadefoot toad), 7198 nucleotides long. NCBI's taxonomy places the organism in Eukaryota, Metazoa, Chordata, Amphibia, Anura, Pelobatidae. The record is from the annotation of a GenBank genome assembly.
AAAGGACAGUCAGUACUAUAAACAUGCACUAAAAAUAAAGCACUGUGAAGAGACAGAGGAAAAAUAAGAACUGCAGCUAAUAUUAUAAAACCAAAACAAAUGGGUAAAUAUAUAAUUUCUAAUUUUUCUUUACAUUAACCCUUAAAACCUGCCUUGUCAUGAAUUGUGAUCCCUACGUGGAUACAGUGGCAAAAAAACAGCUUCAGCUGCUGUAGAUCUGCGAUCCCAAAACCAGGGGCAUGAGUCAGGGGGCUGACGGGCUGGGGCCCCGAGUGGAGUUCUGAAGAGCCCCAAGUCUUAUUUUGCCACCAUUUUAUUAUUAGUCUACAGUCCUCUGUAAUAGUGAGAGAGAGAAAUAACACCUCCAAUUGUAUCAUUUGUGACAGCGUCACUUUAAUUUGGAGUUUAUAGGGGUGGAAUGGGGGUGUUUAUUGUGGGUACACUGUAGCAUUUUAAUGCAGUGGAGCAAAGGGUUAAUACAGCAUGGCUUCAGGUUAAUUUAGCAUGUGUGGAUUUAUUAAAUGUUGGUUCAUGUAAUAUUCUGAAUUCGAAGAUUUGAUGUCACAUUAUGAUUUAUUGAACACAUUGUGGUUUUGAGUUGGAUUCAGAGGGGAAUGGUAUAGGGCUGGUUUUAGUUGAGGCUUAAGUCAAUUAUAUGUGGGAAAGCCAUAAAAGUUACCCUUCAGUAAGAGCCUGGUCUAUUUGCCACCUAGAAAUGCCCAUUUCCAAAACCACCAUAGGAAUUGCAGUUCACCUAACUGGGGAACAACCUAGUGACUCUAGUUCUAUUCUAACUGGGGAUUUACCUUUUGCCCAUGGGGCUAUUACGCAAGCAUUUAAAGCAGCUGCUUAGAGUAAACUCAAUCAGAUAUCACCUUUAACUCUUUCGGGGACCAAUGACACUCCCAAACUGUUAUGAUGAAACUGAAUUAGUCCAUUCAUCGUCCAUAAAGAGUUAAGAACAAAAAAAUAAAAAUAAACUGCGCGUGCCCGUGUUUGUAUGAUGUGAGUGUAUGUAUCAUUGCAUAUCUAUGUAUGCAUGUCACUGUGUACAUAGGUGGAGGACGGGUCAGGAGAUAAACACAAAGGGAUGAGUGGGCACGAAACUACACAAAAGUUUAAAACUUAAGGGGGGUACCAAUAUAGAUUUCCACUCCGGGUGACAAGUGACCUAGCUACACCUCUGUGUUGCAAUGUUCAGGCUUUGCAGAGUGGACUGUGAGUGAGCCUGAAUUUGGCCUGAAUGACAGUCGUACCAAAAGCUGCCAGGCAGCUGAAAUCUGAACGUGGUUUGUUAAAAUCUGGGCCUGGAUGCCUAACUGGAUCCAAACUCUUUGUCCACUGACAGCUAGCAGCUAAAGAGCGAAUAGUGAACAAAAUACUCUGAGGAGUGACGGUUAAGUUCUUUGAUGUUUAGCCAGUGGACUAGCCUCCACAUUAAAAAGUUUUUUACAAAAAAAAGUAUGGGGUCAAUUUGAACCCCAUGUUAGUAAUUGAGAGAUCCAAUACCCCCCCCCCCCUCCACUGGCCAUGGCAUGAGUGGGAGAAUGUAUAAUAAACAGUGAGCUGCACUGUAAUUAAAAACUAUCAACUGAGCAGCUAUUGGUAAUGGAGUCUGUAAAUUACCGUGGGGGAGGAGAGAAUACCUGGCACAGAGAUACCUCGUGAUCCCAACCAUAGGCAUCAGGUGGAGGCUUAAAAUUCAAUAGUGGGAUGGGCUAGCCGACCCCUGCCCCCACCUGUUGCCAGCAAGUGGGGGAUCUAUAAAAAGAAAUAUGGGAUAUACAUACUAAAGCAGGGGUAUGCAACCUUCAGUACUCCAAAUGUAAACUAUAACAAAGAGCAUUAUGGGAGAUGUAUUCAAAACUUCUAAACUGUAGAAGGUUGCUUACUGUUAUGGUUCUCACCGUGACAUCCAGACGUGGUCGCCCCAGACGUGCCCAACAGGGGACAUGAACCUGGAUCCUGCUGUGUCGUGGGCCUGCUGUUUUGCCUUCCAGCCACAAUUCAGCUCAUGUAUCAACAUGAAGUCCGAUCUUGCCUUAUCUCCAGCAUUAAGGGGCUAGACAUUUCCUGUGGCUGCCCCUGUCAAUCUCAGUCCACCUGAAGCAGAUGCCAAAUCAGCCAGGCAUAAAACACUGCCUCUGUCUGAGGGCAGGGCCAGUUCAUUGACUCUGGUUCCUUAAUUUAUGUAUCUUGAUCCAGUGUUCUCCAGAUGGCUCCUGACCUUGGCUUAUCUCAUCGUUUAUUCUGACCUCUGACUUCGGCUUUCCACUACUACUCUUCUGCUUGCCCUUGCCUCUACUGUGACUUGGAGCUAUAUCCUGCACAGCCCCCGUGCACAGAAUCAUAGCCCAGGUGUAUUCUUACCUGGUCACCUUGGUCAGUGUUUAUUUGCAAGGGUGAGCGUAUAACUCUGCACUCCGGACACUUACUCCCCCAGGAACACUAAAAUCAUAGGUGGCAGGUGGGGAGUACUACUAUAAUAUCCUACUGUUCCCCCCGAGCCUCCACCUAUGGUUGGGGGUGAGGGUUAUUUCAAAAAAUCAUGAAGGAGGUAGACAAGCUAUCCCACCUACCCCCGUCACCCUAAAAAUAGUGAGGGGGGGUCAAUAAAAAUCUUAUAUCUGUAAAAUAAAAUUUCUCCCUUAUCUACAGAAGUCUUAGUUUUUCUUAAAUAAUAUUUUCUUAAUUUCCAACAAAGGCCAACUAAAAAGCUUCUGUAUCCCAACACUACUAUUAAAAAUGUUAUAAAACAUUCAGAACCAAAAGAAAAUCAUGAUGAAAAAACAAAAACCACACCACAAAAAAAAAUCUCUGCGUAGACUGAGCUUUCAAAGAAAGAAAAUCCUUUUUAAAUGCUUUGCCAUGUCACUAGAGCCCUCAGAUUGUGCCCGGCUUCUGUAAAUUUACUGAUAGCUCCAUUCAGGUGUUCUUUUUGAAACAAGGUAUAAACUGGUUGCACAAGCAUGCAGUCUUGGCAUAGAGUACGUCAAAGUAAUAUGUGAAGGAUCCUGUUGGACAGGCAAGCCUCAUCUUAUGAGAACUAGAUCCCAAAUCAAUGUCGUGUUCAAAGCGUUGUCUUCUAUAAAGUGGUGCAAAUAUGUAAAAGUGGAAGAGUCACCAAUGGAAUGCGUUGGCAAGUUCCACUUAUUCCCAUAAUAAUUGUCCCACUAUUAGUACUUUAGACCAUUUUUUUCAAACAGAAUGGUUUUAUAAAUGUUGCCCAUUGAUUAAUUGUUUUAUUUAAUUGGAAGCACAUUACUUCCACGUAUAACUGGGCAGCAUUUUCACCCUCUUCCCAACAGAAUGCAAAAGUCAUACGUGUCCCUCAUAAUUUCACAAAAAGGUUUAUUUGCUAAAUUACAAAUUGAACUACAAUUUAUAUCUGAAUGCUAAAACUGAGGAUAUAUCAGCUGAUAGUCCUUUUUAAUACACAGGCAAAGUGUGAGCAGGAGUGGCUGUCUGUGAUAUCUUAUUACAGAUACAAUAUAUAUCUGCAAGUCUUCUAGGAAUCCCAGCGUAGCAACCACAGAAAAACACACGUUUAUCGACCAGAUCAUUAAUUUUUGUCAUACCAGUUCAUGCAACAGAAACAUACUUAGAGACAUUCCAGCCUCGUAUGUUUGUCUUACAUGACUUUUUACCAUUAUGUGUACACAUCAGGUAAGAAGUUAAACUGUUCUUAAAUGGUUUGACUACUUACAUGGGAUGGUGGCAUUGCACUCCUGGCACCAUAACCACUACAGUGCACUUUCUAGCAAACUGGCAGGUCUUCGCAUAAGGAUUGCAUGCCACCUUGCCAUAACAAACAAUGGUAUUUGUUGAAAACAAAAUGCAAUAAAUAAGAAUCAAUGGAAGAAAGGAUAGUUACAGAUAGCUUGGAGAUACACACACCGUAUAGAGGUACAAAUAUAAUCCUACUUAGAGAUAUAUAAAAUAAUGUUGCCAAAUAAAUAGCUGUAUAUAAUUAUUCCAUGAUGUGAAUUUUAGAUACUGCCGAGCGGCAAUACUCAUACAGUCUAACGCAUAUCUUCAAACAGUCCCAGAUCCAGUGGAAAAGACCCAUAUUGAAAACAAGAUGAGUGCAUUAUUAAACAUGCAUGAGAAUGCAUGAUUCUAUGCCAAGACGUUUCUGCCCAUAAGAGUGCGUAAGCAAAACGGCCAAGCACCAUAACCACAUACAACAUAUCUACUACUAUAUCCUCUACAGUUAGCCUUCCCGAGCUAUGCCCUGCAGUGUAGGGCUAGCUCAAUGGCUGAGAGUGUCAUCUGAUCGCACUCAGCCAAUGAGUUAAGAGUGCUUCUGAUUUUCUGUUGGAAGUAGUGGUGGCAGGGAGUGAUGUCCAGUAGAUAUCAGGUAAGAAGUUAAACUGUUCUUAAAUGGUUUGACUACUUACAUGGGAUGGUGGCAUUGCACUCCUGGCACCAUAACCACUACAGUGCACUUUCUAGCAAACUGGCAGGUCUUCGCAUAAGGAUUGCAUGCCACCUUGCCAUAACAAACAAGUUAUUGAAAUAAAAAUACCGUAUAUCACCGUAUCAUAGUCGCACCCUGGUUUUUUGCAGACCAAAAAUUGGUUCAAAUUCAAUUCAUCACGUAAUAGUCGCAUAAUUGACCAUUUCUGUUUUUGUUGUGACAUUCUUAGUCUUGAAAACUGAUGGCGAACAUCCUACUGAUCUUAUACCGAAGAGAGGGUUUAUUACCUAUCAGUUUUUUUAUAUUUUGGUGCAUUUUGUCAAUGUAAUGCAUUAAGAAAUGAAAGGAGGAAAGGGAUCAGGAUCAGAGAUUAUGUAAUGCAUUAGAAAAUAUGCUGUUAUGUUAUUAGCAACUAUUAUAUUAUCAACUGUUAAAAACAUUUUUUUUUUAAAAACAAAGCUUUGCAUAUAUAAUAUCGCAAAAAAUAAAGUUUCACGUAAUAGUCAUACACCGCAUAAUGGUCGCACCCCCCAUUUUUAAGGAAAGGAAUUAGGCAUAAAAUCUGCAACCAUUAUGCAGUGAAAUACGGUAUUUUUUUUGUAUAGUUAAUUUAUGUGUCAUUAAUACAAAAUUAUUUCUCUUGCAAAUAGAUGAAGAAUAGCAAGUUCAUCAAAUGUGUACAGCAAAUGGCAUCCCAACUACACACUGCUACUAUUAGGGAAGAGGUGAUAAAGGUAGCAAUCCUGACAUCCUUUACAGAUUAUGGCUGUGCCCCAUCUGGAAGAUAUUUUUGUGACCACCCCAGUUCGUGUCUCCUACCCAAAGGUGUUUAAAGCUGUGCCCGGCUUCUGUAAAUUUACUGAUAGCUCCAUUCAGGUGUUCUUUUUGAAACAAGAUAUAAACUGGUUGCACAAGCAUGCAGUCUUGGCAUAGAGUCCGUCUAAGUAAUAAAAACCCUGGAAUAUGGGGCAAGGCCAGCAUUAAAAUAAUUGUCUCCUCAACUCUUCCCUUCCAAGAGAGUCAACUACAAUCAAACCUAUGGAUUACUUUGACAAGUAGAUACUCUGGGACAGAUAGCAGGAAAUUAUGUAGCAGUUAACAUAAAAAUAAAGUGGAUUCUAUUAGAUAAAUUACUUAUACUAGCCUGUAUACCUCAUUGCACAAGUUCAUUGUGUAAUCAACUGGUAAUGUAGAACUCUACAGUAACAGGUCCAGCAUUGUAUCAGUGUGCGUGUAUCAUCUCGAUAAAGCAGGUGGUGAUAGCAUGUGAUCUUGCUGCUCUCUACAACAUAAGGCGCAGAUAACAAGAGAAGUUCAAAACUUCAGGACCCUUGGACUUGUGAGUCUGAUAGCAAAUUCAAUUCCAACAACUACAUGCCUGUUUGACAAAUGUUUUGUUCAAACACCAAAAGUAAAAACGUGAUAUGUGACUUUUUGUUAGAGCAAUAACUAGAAAAUUUAAAGAUACUAGAACUGGACCUCUAGAAUGUAGCGUGAUCUGAAAUCUCCAGAGUGUUCAGACAACUGAAUUUGGCCUCCAGAAUAUUGAAUGUCCAAACACUAGAAACUGACUUUCAGAAUGUUCAGCCACUAAAACAGGACAUCCAGAUUGGACAAACACUAGAACAGGACCUCUAAAAGCAACAGUCAUUAGGACAGGACCUCCAGAAUGGGCAGACAUUAAAAUAUGACCUACAGAAUAGGUAGACAUGAAAAUAGGACCUCUGGAAUGGCAAGACAUCGGUAUAGGACCUCUACAAUGGUCAGACAUUAAAAUUGGACCUCCAGAAUGCAUAGACAUAAGAAUAGGAACUCCAAAAUUAACAGAAAUUUGAAUAGGGCCACUGAAAUAGACAGACAUUUAUCUAAGCCCCUGGGGUGUUGUAGGUACUUGGGAUUUGCUAUCUCUGGUGAAAUAAUUAAAAUGUUUUUUUUGGGGGGGUGGGGGGGUUGUUUCCUCUAUUUCCAAGCACUUUGUCAAUUUGAAAACACAUUUACUACCAUAUUAGCACUCACACUGUGGCAUCAGGCCUCCACGAAACUGGAAUCAUAACAUAUUAAUUCAUCCAACGGCCUACAGAGGGAUUUCGCGUGUUCAUUUGCUGUAUUGCAGCUUUGCUUUUCCAGUUUUUAUGUUUGUCAGCACAACAUAUGGGCAAGAUAAUUUGUAUUCCACGUAUUAGGCUGGCAGUGUAAAUUAUUAAAAGCCCUAUUCAAGGAAGCAUUAUCCACCAUAUGUAAUUUUUUUUUCUUGUUUCACAGCAUUUGCUUAAUGCAUCUAUUCAGACAAGAGAGAAAAGAAAAACAUGAAGCUUCAUUUUCCAGAGUACCCAAAAGAAAAUGUUUAUUAUCCAAACAUUCACCACAAGGGACGCAGAAAAUAGACCCUAGUAAUCCCAUAUGACUAACACAAGCUGGUGAUAAUUAGAAACAAACCAUUAGACAGGGUUUACUAACCAAAGCACUGCAAAUACUAUCAUGCCCAGCCAGCCUGAAGCAUCAUGGGAAGCAAAGUCCAGAAACAUCUACACUACUAAGAUUUACCAUCGCUAGACUAUUAGAUUUGAAUGUUGUGCUGCAAGCAUCCUAUGUUGUUGAUUCACUAAACGGUGAAUUCUACCAAAAGCCAAAUUGCAAAACAUAGGCCAACCUAGUUGAGCUGGACAAUUAUCUUGAAUUCUGCUUUCCUUAGAAUUUCAAUUCACUACUGUUAAGUGUAUAAAUCAUUAUAUGAAAAAAAGAUAUUAAUAAAAAGGACACACACGUGUAAUUCUGCAA